UGUCAUGGUUGUCGUCAGCUCGUGUCGUGAGAUGUUGGGUUAAGUCCCGCAACGAGCGCAACCCUCGACCUUAGUUGCCAGCAUUCAGUUGGGCACUCUAAGGUGACUGCCGGCUAAAAGUCGGAGGAAGGUGGGGAUGACGUCAAAUCAUCAUGCCCCUUAUGACCUGGGCUACACACGUGCUACAAUGGGCGGUACAAAGGGUCGCGAACCCGCGAGGGGGAGCCAAUCCCAAAAAGCCGCUCUCAGUUCGGAUUGCAGGCUGCAACUCGCCUGCAUGAAGCCGGAAUCGCUAGUAAUCGCGGAUCAGCAUGCCGCGGUGAAUACGUUCCCGGGCCUU
This 340-nucleotide ribosomal RNA is filed under the name uncultured Anoxybacillus sp. Its description in RNAcentral is "bacterial SSU rRNA". It matches the Rfam family "Bacterial small subunit ribosomal RNA", at positions 1042 to 1382 of the family's 1533-position model. Lineage: Bacteria; Bacillati; Bacillota; Bacilli; Caryophanales; Anoxybacillaceae. The record is from RNAcentral.